RNA transcript from Crotalus tigris (Tiger rattlesnake), 2975 nucleotides. It is a transcript of the gene named membrane-spanning 4-domains subfamily A member 4A-like, with no coding region annotated. Lineage: Eukaryota; Metazoa; Chordata; Lepidosauria; Squamata; Viperidae. The transcript is spliced from 7 exons. The record is from RefSeq and is a predicted model, not a curated record.
AAUGUGAUUCCUGCCAGUGUUUCAUCGACUGCAAACAGCCAGAGCUGCUUUCGUCCGAAGCAGAAGCUGCACUCGGGUGAUGCAGCAGCCUUUGAGAAUUUUAAGAUCGAUGACGUUUGAGUUGUUGGUUUUUGUUUUUGUUUUUGUUUGCUUAGCAUCUGCGUCUUUCCAGCUCCGUUGGGUUUUGGUUCAGCAGCGGAUCCUGUGCCUCGAAAGCAGUAUACAACCUAGACCCUUACAUCAUUGCUGACUUUGCUGACCUAAAGGAGCCGCCCUUCUUGCAAAGCCCAGCAUGCAUGCUCCUCUAGUCCCAGGGUCCUUGCCUUCCACCACUCAGACUGAUCUUCCAGUCCCACUGAAGAAAUUUUAUCAGGGUGAACCUCUGGCCCUGGGGAUCACACAGAUAUUCAUAGGAAUCAUAGGAAUGAUUUUUGGGAUCCUGCUUGAUAUAAUGAAUGAUUAUUUCAUCAUCUAUAGUGUUAUAAAGAUCGCUUAUUGGAGUGGCAUCUUGUACAUCAUCUCUAGAUCCUUAGCUGUGGCAGCUGCUCGGAAUCCCAAGAUCCCUCUGGUGCAAGGUGCGCUGGCAAUGAAUGUGAUAAGUGCUGUAUCAGCUGGUAUUGGCAUCAUAUUCCUGUCUUCCAGUAUCACCAUCAGUUUUUCAUAUCAUUUCAUGUUCCUUUGCCGUGAAUUUGAACACAAUUAUGAAGAAAAGUGUUAUGAAAGUCUUGCAAAACAGAGCCUGCAUAUCUAAUCCAGGUCAUCUUCCUUACUCUAGAACUGGAGAUACAUAUGCCUAUCUCUAUUUAUAAAAAUAGAUAUGUUUCUCUUCUACUUCAUCGAUAGCAUAUCAUUCAAGGAAUUUUGGCUGUUCUUCUUAUAUUCACCAUCCUGGAGUUUUGCAUCACCAUCUCUGUUGCAUCAUUUGGCUGUAAAAUGCUUUGCCGAAAUGCCCUCACUGAAACGGUUGUCGUCAUUUAUGAGAAUGUGACUCCUGCCAGUGUUGAACAUCCAUCCAUUGACUGCAAACAGCCAGAGUUCCCUUGAGUUGCUUUUCCUUCUUGGCAGCUAUUCUGGAAUACAUUGGCUCCUGCAAAAUUGAAGACUUGAGCUUUUUAAGGAUUUGCACGGAACUUUUUACUCAGCGGAACCUAAAACAUUUAGUGGGCUAAGCCAAACACCAUGUGUAAAAGAUCUUGACAAUGUGAAUGUUCUGAUUGCUGGUUAAGACAUGUCUCUGUGAACUGGUUGGCACCUUGUCCCAACCUUGUUAUGUUUUGCUUUUGGAAAAUGCACAAUUGGUCGAGUUUAUACAACACAUUAUGGAUAAGCUAUUGUUUCCACUUUACAAUGGUUGUGUCAUAUAUUUUGUUGCACUCAGCUACACUCAUACAACCAAUUAUGCUAGUUGUGUGAAAUCAUCUAAUGCUUGCAACACACUCCAGAAUUUUAUUUGUGGGAUGUAACAAUGACCCUGGGAAGCCUUCAUAUAAAAGUCUCAACAGCUGUAUAUUCCAAUGAAAACUAAAGAGUCAAAUUUAUAGCCAUAAUUUAAAAUUUUAACUGUUUGUUCUAGUGGUUAAGAUACUAAGCGAGAAACCAGGAGACUGUGAGUUCUAGUCCCGCCUUAUAAAGAAAAGCCAGCUGGGCGACUCUGGGCCAUUCUCUCUCUCAGCCCAACUAAUUUCAUAGGGUUGUUGUGGGGAAAGCAGGAAGAGGAAGGAAUAUUAGCUAUGUUUGCUGCCUUAAAUCAUUUAUAAAAAUAAUGAAGAUAGGAUAUAAAUGUAUACAGAAGACAAAACGGGUUUCCUUGCCACUUGACUUUCCAUCAAGGCUGCCUUCUGCCCAUCCAGCUUAUCUCACUGUUUUAUUUUAGGCAAGACUGCAUUCCAGACAAAUAAUAAUAAACUGCUGAGCACAUAUUGCUUGCUGUUUUUAUUUUCUCUAAGUUCCACAGAAAUAAAGAGGGACAUAGGGGUGUGUGCGUGUGUGUGUGUGUGUCAUUGUUUGGGAUACUCUCUCUCUUUUCUCUCUCAUUUUGCUGGCCCUGGUGCUUAACAACAAAGAAGAGUGUGGAAGGCUUAAAAGAUACCCAGAUGUUGCAAUGUGUCCACAGUUAACAAAGAUCAGGCAAAAUAAUAAUAACAAUGUGUGAGACCAUAUGAAGCAUUUCUUUCUGGGGAAGCAGCACCAGCCAUAUUAAACCAGAAAAGGAUGCAGUUGCUUUAAAGAGAGGAAGUGAUGUCUUUAUCCAGAUUCCUCAUGGCAAUGGAACCAAAAGUGCUUCUGAGCCUUAUUUGAAACAAGGAGAGAUAGAAGCAUUCAAGAAGCUGUUGGCAAGCUGAGAAUUUGUAUUGUGAACUGUGGAAUGAGAAAUACACAGAAACAAGUGGCUUAAAAUUUCAUUAUAUGUUUCUUUAGGUUGUCGUCAUCAGAAUGUGAUUCCUGCCAGAGUUUCAUCGAGUGCAAACAGCUAGAGCUGCUUUCGUCCGAAGCAGAAGCUGCAUUCGGGUGAUGCAACAGCCUUUGAGAAUUUUAAGAUCGAUGACGUUUGAGUUGUUGGUUUUUGUUUUUGUUUUUGUUUGCUUAGCAUCUGCGUGUUUCCAGCUUCAUUGGGUUUAGGUUCAGCAGCGGAUCCUGUGCCUCGAAAGCAGUAUACAACCUAGACCCUUACAUGUAAGUAACAUAUAAAUAUGAAUCAUUCCUAAUUUUUAACAAGAGAGGCACCGUCAUUCCAGAUGGGGUGUGGUUUUGAAUACUGCCUGCAUCCCGAGGGUGGAGCUUUGCUUGUUUGUGCAACCCUCUUGCUGGCAUACUGCGGACUGGUGCUGGUCCACGGACCAAGGGUCGAGGACCCCUGUCCUAAGGCUGCUGGGUCCCCUUUCGACAUUCCCCAAGAGUUUCUCCACUGCAGGGCCAGCCUGAAGCACUGCCCAUGCUUCGGCUAACGUGCCGGGCCAUCUACUCGGUUGCCGAAA